UACAGAGGGGGCAAGCGUUGUUCGGAAUUACUGGGCGUAAAGGGCGCGUAGGCGGCCCGCUAAGUCGAACGUGAAAUCCCUGGGCUCAACCCAGGAACUGCGUCCGAUACUGGCAGGCUUGAAUCCGGGAGAGGGAUGUGGAAUUCCAGGUGUAGCGGUGAAAUGCGUAGAUAUCUGGAGGAACACCGGUGGCGAAGGCGGCAUCCUGGACCGGCAUUGACGCUGAGGCGCGAAAGCCAGGGGAGCAAACGGGG
This 254-nucleotide ribosomal RNA is filed under the name uncultured bacterium. Its description in RNAcentral is "partial 16S ribosomal RNA". It matches the Rfam family "Bacterial small subunit ribosomal RNA", at positions 524 to 777 of the family's 1533-position model. The record is from RNAcentral.